AGUAGGAAGCCAGGCGAGCUGUAAAACAUGAACAGAGGAGUGGAUUAUUCGGCCACUGAGGAAGAGAUCAAUCUUGCCAGAGGACCCUCAGUGCUCCCAGUGAAGAUACAUUUCACUCACCCUCCACCCCUGCUAUGCUGUCAUGUCUUUCCCUCUGCGUAGCCAACACAUGAUUUGAAGUGACUGAUACCCAACCCAAACUUUGCUGUUCAGAAUCUUCAAUUCUUCAUAUUCUGAUGGGAAAGUAAAGGUAUUGUUUGAAGAAAAACUGAAGAAAAUACUUGCUUAGAACAU
RNAcentral lists this long non-coding RNA (294 nucleotides) under Aotus nancymaae (Ma's night monkey). RNAcentral describes it as "lncRNA (ENSANAG00000039198.1)". Lineage: Eukaryota; Metazoa; Chordata; Mammalia; Primates; Aotidae. The record is from RNAcentral.